This is a non-coding RNA of Colletotrichum sp. SAR 10_99, 90 nucleotides long. Lineage: Eukaryota; Fungi; Ascomycota; Sordariomycetes; Glomerellales; Glomerellaceae. The record is from the annotation of a GenBank genome assembly.
GCAUUCUUAGUGUAGCGGUUAUCAUCCCAGCCUUCCAUUUCGAGAGAAACUGAACAGCUGGGGACCGGGGUUCGACUCCCCGAGGAUGCA